Molecule: ribosomal RNA, 407 nt
Filed under: Scylla paramamosain (green mud crab)
Lineage: Eukaryota; Metazoa; Arthropoda; Malacostraca; Decapoda; Portunidae
Description: partial 12S ribosomal RNA
Source: RNAcentral
AUACCAAAAAGUAAUUUUUUAAGACCUAAGUAUUUAAAGUUAUGUACUUGAAAUUUGAAUAAUUUGGCGGUGAUUUAGUCUUGUCAGAGGAACCUGUUUUUAAAUCGAUACACCACGAAAAAUCUUACUUAGGCUUGUAGAGUAGUAUGUAUACCAUCAUUAUUAGGUAAUUUUUAUAGAAUAAAUUACUAAAAAUAAUUAUUAAUAGUGUUAAAUAUAUUAGAUCAAGGUGCAGCUAAUGCUUAAGUUAAAAUGGGUUACAAUAAAAAUUUAUUUAAUACGGAAUAUUAAUUUAAAUAAUUAAUUAGAAGGAGGAUUUGAUUGUAAAUUAAAUUUAAUAUGUUUAGUUAGAUAUAAGCUCUAAAUCAUGUACAUAUCGCCCGUCGCUUUCAUUACCAAAAUGAGAU